Non-coding RNA from Pangasius djambal, 72 nucleotides. NCBI's taxonomy places the organism in Eukaryota, Metazoa, Chordata, Actinopteri, Siluriformes, Pangasiidae. The record is from the annotation of a GenBank genome assembly.
UCCCUGGAGGACUAGUGGUUAGACCACAGCACUCUUACUGCUGUGGCCCGGCUUCGAAUCCUGGCCAGGGGA